GACGAACGCUGGCGGCGUGCCUAAUACAUGCAAGUAGAACGCUGAAGGAGGAGCUUGCUCUUCUGGAUGAGUUGCGAACGGGUGAGUAACGCGUAGGUAACCUGCCUGGUAGCGGGGGAUAACUAUUGGAAACGAUAGCUAAUACCGCAUAAAAUUGAUUAUUGCAUGAUAGUCAAUUAAAAGGUGCAAUUGCAUCACUACCAGAUGGACCUGCGUUGUAUUAGCUAGUUGGUGAGGUAACGGCUCACCAAGGCAACGAUACAUAGCCGACCUGAGAGGGGGAGCGGCCACCCUGGGCCGGAGACACGGCCCAGACUCCUACGGGAGGCAGCAGUAGGGAAUCUUCGGCAAUGGACGGAAGUCUGACCGAGCAACGCCGCGGGAGUGAAGAAGGGUUUCGGAUCGUAAAGCUCUGUUGUAAGAGAAGAACGAGUGUGAGAGUGGAAAGUUCACACUGUGACGGUAUCUUACCAGAAAGGGACGGCUAACUACGUG
This 495-nucleotide ribosomal RNA is filed under the name uncultured bacterium. RNAcentral describes it as "partial 16S ribosomal RNA". It matches the Rfam family "Bacterial small subunit ribosomal RNA", at positions 28 to 507 of the family's 1533-position model. The record is from RNAcentral.